This 67-nucleotide microRNA precursor is filed under the name Bombyx mori (domestic silkworm). RNAcentral's name for it is "mir-2774 microRNA precursor family". It matches the Rfam family "mir-2774 microRNA precursor family". The record is from Rfam by way of RNAcentral. Lineage: Eukaryota; Metazoa; Arthropoda; Insecta; Lepidoptera; Bombycidae.
AUAACAUUUGGACCGUCGGUCUACCGAGCAAUAUCACCCGCCCGGUGGAAGAUUUUCCCUUCGUCGU